RNAcentral lists this long non-coding RNA (8537 nucleotides) under Equus caballus (horse). RNAcentral describes it as "lncRNA (ENSECAG00000044660.1)". The record is from RNAcentral. Lineage: Eukaryota; Metazoa; Chordata; Mammalia; Perissodactyla; Equidae.
CUGUGGAUGAGCUGAUAGCUCACCUGAAAACAAACAAUUAAGUAGAUGGUAUUGGACACCUUGCAACCUAUUCGUUCUCAUUUCCUGCCAGUCUGGCUCAAGUUGUUUCCUCCGCCUGGAUUGUCCUCCGGCCUUGUUUGCUGAAAUCGUCUUUCAAGACAAGUCAAAAGUUACCCUUCUGGAAGUCUUUAUACAUCCACAGGUUUUAUAGAGCCACCCUGUGCCCAGCUUCCAGGCAAGACCUUGGUCUCUGGAACCAAUCUGUGUUCAAAUCCCGCCUCAGCACUUUCCAGCUAUGUGACACCUGUGUAAAAAAACUUUCGUCAUGGCCCCUGGACUGAUUACUAGAGCUCCUGGCCCCUGGGCUUCUUAGAAAAGAGAGCCUGAGACUAGAAAUGCCUUCUCUUCCCGUGGGGACCCUUCCUGAGAGGAGAGAGAGACAGCUGAGAUGGAGUUACCACCUGCAGCCCAGGAGCCUGGGGGCUUUCACACCAGCUGUACUGUGACCGCAAGGAGAGAGUCUUUUUCAAAUCUCUUUAUCUCUAACACCUAGGACAAUGCCUGGUACUUAGCAGGUAGGUCCUUAAUACGUUUUGGGGAAUGAUGAUAUUAACAACACAGCAUCAGGGGCCUGCUCCGUGGCCGAGUGGUUAAGUUCGCACGCUCCGCUGCGGCGGCCCAGGGUUCGGAUGCUGGGCAUGGACAUGGCACUGCUCGUAAGGCCACAUUGAGGCGGCGUCCCACAUCCCACAACUAGAAGGACCUGCCACUAAGAUAUACAACUGCGUACAGGGGGAGUUUGGGGAGAUAAAGCAGGAAAAAAAAAAAAAAAUUGGCAACAGUUGUUAGCCCAGGUGCCAAUCCUUGAAAAAAAAAACAAAAGGAAGAUUGGCAACAGUUGUUAGCCCAGGUGCCAAUCUUUAAAAAAAAAACAAAACACAGCAUCAUGGUUAACUUCAGACAGAUUGAAUGACUUGCCUCAAGUCACAGAGCUGGUUAGCAGCGGGGUUGGAAUGCAAACACAAAUUUGUUUGAUUCCAAAAAUCUGCUGUUUCCACAAAGAAGGCCAUCCAUAUAUGUCCUCUUACUUAUUUUUCAUGUUAGCGUUAUCUUUCCUCUGUUGUGAAUUCCUAGUGAAAGCCUAGGCCUCAAUCAUAGCAGUCAUCAUUUUAUAGCUGUUAUUUUUCAGGUGUGUAGUAUGUGCCAGGCAUUGUGCUCAGCACCCCGCAUAUAUGAUCGCAUUUAAUCUUCACAACAAUCCCAUGAGGCUGGCGCUAUUACUAUAGCCUGUGGCAGGUGGGCAACUGAGACUUAACAAGGCAAGUUAACUUGCAUGCUGGCCUGAGUAAGAGUUUUCUGAAUGCAAAUCCUGGGUCCCCCUGUGUGUCCCCCUUUGCCCCGGCUGUCAGACCAUUACCACUGCACCACCCUCCCUCUUUAUGUAGUAUCUGCUACUCUGCUGGGUCCCUCAGCCUUUACCGACACUCCCUCAGCCACCUACUGGCUGGGCCACACCUGGAUCGUGCCACGAUCUAAGACUACCCCACCUACGAAACUCAAUAACUCUCGUCCAUAACCUCAGCCUCAUCCAACCUGACUCACUCAACUACUCCCAAGAACCAACACACUGUUCUUAAGCCUCCGGUUCCUCAACUUACCCCUUUGCUCACACUCAAGCUCCCUCAGGGGCUCAUUUUCUUACAUCUCUAAUCUAAACCUCAUUCUUGAGCAUGCUGGCAACACCACUCAUGCCCCGUGAAUCCCUAAAUUUAGGUAAUACCCCUUCCCUCCUGUUCCCAAACUUGGCCAGGAACCCGGCUGGAGGAAGUUACACAUUGGUGCCCUCACAGAUCUGUAGUCUUUGAUCCCAGUGUGGCCCUCAGUAGCACUCAAAACCCCCUUUCCUGCUCAGCUCCCUCUCCCAUUCCUCCAGGGCCCUUUACCAUCUUUACCACUUUCUUCAAGCCACCCAACCCAACACUCACUCCCAAUCACACCGCUUCCUACAUCACUGCAAAAAUCAAGGCUCUCAGGUGAAAAUUUCCUAAUGCUCCUGUGCCCAUAAUUUUAUCUAUGACCGUAUUCAGCACCAACUUCUCUCCUCCAGUUGCAGAGGUAGGUCUGCUUCUUUAGCUCAAGGCAAAGUCCUCUCUCCCAUGCUCUUUCAUCCCCAUCUCUGUGACAAUGUUGUUCUGUUAGUCAUUCCCUAUCUAACUGAUUGCACCUUUCCUUCUCCAUUAACUCUUUCCCAUCAGCUGAAAAUCUCCCAUGGAAAAGCAAGAACAGAAGUAAAAAUUAAAGAAAAAAACAAGGACAAUUUUCCAUUGACCUUUAGUCAACUUCUGGUCCCAGGUCUCUGCCUCCUCCAUAGUCUGGCUCCCCAAAUAAUAAUCUGCACUCACUCUCUUCCCUUCCUCUCUAUCAUUAGUCAACCGACUAUUAAUUCAAUCACACUUUCACCCACCCUUGCCCCUCCAAUAAAAUUAUCACAGCAAAGUGUACCAUUGCCCUUCUACUUGCAAAUCUGGUAGGCUGCCUUUUGGUCCUCAUUUCACUUCAUUUCUCUGUGAUAUUUGGUGUUAUUGACCAUUCUCUUCCUGAAGCUUUUGAUUCCCUUGCUUUCUAAUGACAUCACUCUGUUCUCCUUGUUUUAAUUAAUUUAUUAUCUUAGUCAGCAAACCUCCCUACCAUGUGCUUGGCACUACAGCGGUAGGUGCUUGGGAUACAAAGAUAAAGAAGACAUGGUGACUGUCCUUAAAGACUAAGAAAUUUGGUUAGAUUUCUGGAAAUUUUGUAGCUUCUUCAAGUUGUUUUGCUGCCUCUUUGUUUGUCAGUACUGUGUGGGAAUCCCCUUUAAAGACAAUGCCCUUGAAAAGGAGGAGGUUCAUACGCCUGGCCUGGGAGAUCACACGGAUGCUCCACCCAAUUCCAGAGCGUGUGGGGAAAGAAGAGCCAAUAAUGGAGUGGGCAGCUCAGGGCUAGAGAAAGUAGGCACGAAAGAAAAGACAAAAGAAAGAAACCCUAGUCUGCAUCAAAGAGUAACUGCAGGAGCGUAAAUUGCAGAAAGCUCAUGUUGGGUCCUUGACGUCAAAAGCCGUGUGUCUCUUGUACCUGUUUGUUCUAUCCCCAUUGCCACCAUCCUGUUCUAAGCCUUCAACACUUGCUUUCAAAGUCUCUCUGGGACCUCUCCCCAAAAGAUACCUCUGGACAGAAAGUAGUCCUCUAUCCUGUGUAUGGGAUUCCCUUUGGGGUCACAGAAUUGGAUUUCUCAUGAAAGAGUAAUGCCACAACCCUGGGGGCUUUGGAGGCUGAAUGGAAUUGGCUUGAAUUUUAAGAGAUUUAGAUGUUUACCGUGGGUGUUAGAGGUAAAAGAUGUCUCCUGAAGUGUGCUGGGAGGGGGGAGCCAAGCAAGGCCCUGUUUCCCUGGGAUGUCACUUGGAAUGAGGUAGGAUUUAUAAGCCCCAGAGAGCAAGGUGUACCUUGUAAACUCGAUUAUUUAUGCAUUGGCUUCCUUUUUGUCCUCUCUUUAUGUUUAGUAAACUUUUAUUAACUUUAUGUUUAUUUGACCUAUGCUAAGGGGAAGCAAAGAAAGGGACUUUUUGACAGAGCCUUAAAAGGGAAGAAGUCUACCUCUGAGGCCAAUGUGGUAAAGGCAGUGGGCAUUGGGGAAAGACCACAACAAGAGUCAAAUCAGAAGUACAGCGUUGAGAUCUCUGGGUUCUGCUCCAGGAGAGCGCUCUCUUCAUACAAGCUCACAGCGCUGGGUUUUCCUUUAUCCUGGCAGGUGGCAUCCUCUUACAUCCCCAGGACCACUGUACUGCACUCUCCCCACUGCCUGCAUCUCUCUUAUCCCACACUUUUGCUUUGGUCACUGUCACUCACAGUGCUUCCUUCCUUAGGAAGCCCUCCCUCUGCCAAUUGAAAUCCAACUGUUCAAGCCCCAUUUUCUUCAGAAAGUCAUCCUUCACUGAUCCUACACAUGUUCAUGUUUCCCUUCUGGAAACUUUUCUAGCACUGUACGAUAUUAGCAUUGGGUUACAAGCCUACUUACAUAAUGCAUGUAGGUCUUGUCUUCUCCGAUUAGGCUGAGAACCUGUCAAGAGGAGGGAUGGAUGGCCUCUCGUCUUUGGUAUUGCUCAAAGUGAAGGGCACACAGCCAACCCCAUCUCUACCAGGUGACUGAAUUGUUCCAAUUUAAAAGGCACAGAGGUGGGAGAGCCAGGAGACUGGAGGGGCUUUCAGUUAAUUAUUUUGACUGAUAUUCUAGAGUGACCAGAAAUAAAAUAAGCCUUGGGUAGUGGGGUAGAAGAUCUUUAGAACAUCACAUUACCCUCUUUAUUGAGGAAAUUUGAAUCCUUUCUCAUCUCUGAAGAUCCAGAACUAAAAGCCCCCCCCAAACACACAGAUUUCACACUAAACUCCCCAAAGUGUUCACUAUCUGUACGAACAUAAACAUACUUCCCCCUUGUGGAAAAGUGUCUCUAAAGAACAUCAGUAAUGAAUCUCUGAUAGCCCUCUCUCAUCUCCAUAAAUCCUUUAGGGUUAGAGGUCGGGAGAGGGUACUCCUUUGGUAUCAUUCAAGGCAGAUUGUACAGUGCAUUAGUGAGCACGAAGGGACAGCCAUAAAAUAUUCAUAGGCUGUGGUGUGGACGCACUGACUGCUUGAGGGACCUGCGCCUGAGGGAUUAGAUCAGUCAGAUCCCCUAGCAGCGCUCUAUUUCCUUAAACUUGGAGGUUUCCACAGCUCACCAACACAUCUGAUUUAGAAUUUAAAGGGAUUUUUUGAAACCACAGGAGAAAGGGUGGGGUAGGCUGGAGGUAAACUAUUUGCCCAGGGCUCCUGGCCUGAGGAGAAGCAACGGACUUUUUUCACAAGGAGGACUAUCUGGGGCAGAAGCAAAAACCUCCUCUGAGAAUUACUGGACAAAGUUAGAGUUGGAGGAAAAGUAUCUCCCAGGAAUACACCUAGGGAAGAAUCCCUGCCAGGAAAGACACUCACCUCCCUUUAUUCAUUUUUGAUCAAACUUAAUUCAAUCUAACCAAUAUUGGAUUGUAUAUGUAAUCAAGGUACUUGCCUGAUAAGGAAUCAGAAAGUGUACUCUACAUUCCAGAGGAUUAGAAUUUAUUUGAAGAUAAUUAUGCUGUCACACGGGAAGAAAAUAAAAUGUCUAUAGAAUCCUCCUUUGUUUUUGUUUUUGUUUUUUAAGAUUGGCACCUGGGCUAACAACUGUUGCCAAUCUUCCUUUUGUUUUUUUUUUUCUGCUUUAUCUCCCCAAACCCCCCCAUACACAGUUGUAUAUCUUAGUUGCAGGUCCUUCUAGUUGUGGGAUGUGGGACGCCACCUCAACGUGGCCUUAUGAGCAGUGCCAUGUCUGCGCCCAGGAUCCAAACCCUGGGCUGCUGCAGCAGAACGCACGAACUUAACCACUCGGCCACGGAGCUGGGCCCAGAAUCCUCCUUUGGGUGCUGGGCAGGUAAUUAAGAUCUUGUUUUUCCAGGGAAGUUUCACAUAUUGCAGCUGCAGGUUGGGGGGUGGGGGGUUGGGUGGAGGCCUGACCCUAGCUGGGGAAAGAGUAAGACCAUUCUGAGUCACCCCAGAUUCAGGACUAGCAGGUGUCACCUAGGCAGGAAGCGUGAGGGUGGGGUGCCAAAAGCCUGAUACUGGAGGGAAGAGAAGGGCAGGGAAAACAGCCAGGCUAGGAUGCAUGCCACGUGUGGUUUCAAUCUUCUAGACGCUGGGCGUGAAGUAGUUAAAGAGAAACCCAAGACAGCUGCAGCCCGGGGGCUCUGUAAUGGGAAGUCUCCUAGAGUUCAUUUUUCUGUGCCACCAAGGGAGACUUUUUCAGCUGGGACCCAAUCUGGAAGCUAUUCUACCCACUGGAAAGCCAGGAGCUAUAAAACCCUCCUGAUGCCUCAGCAUGACUCAGAGGCAGCUGAACAAGACCCUGAAGAGAGUGGGGACAGCUGUGGAGCCUCACACUUUGGCAUAUCUCGGGGUGGAAAGCAAAACCUCCUUAGAAAUAUAAAAUGAUGUUGCUGUCAUUCACCAAUACAAAUUCCAGGCAAGUGAAAGACUUGUGUGUAAGAACGUGGAAACCUAGAGUAAAGUAAAAGUGAAUAUAAAAUACUUUACUAGAGUAAAGUAAAAGUGAAUAGCUGAUCUCAAGCAAAGAAAGAAGUCAUUAGUAAUAGAGAAAGUGCUGAGAAACUUCAAGGUCUACACAGGUGGACGGAGCUAGGACUCAAACCCAGGGCUGUGCAACACCAGAGCCUUCCUCUUAACCCUGCCCCAAACUGCUUCCUUAGAGAAAAAGUAAAAAUAGGCAGUUCAGAAAACAAAGAUUUCUGGGGCCAGCCCCGUGGCUGAGUGGUUAAGUUCACACGCUCCACUUCAGCAGCCCAGGGUUUCACUGGUUUGGAUCCUGGGCGUGGACAUGGCACCUCUCGUCAAGCCGUGCUGAGGUGGUGUCCCACAUAGCAUGACCAGAGGCACUCACAACUAGAAUAUACAACUAUGUACUGCGGGGCUUUGGGGAGAAGAAGAGGAAGAAAAAAAAGAAGAUUAGCAACAGACGUUAGCUCAGGUGCCAAUCUUUAAAAACAAAAAGCAAAGAUUUCUAAAGUAUGCCCUCCAAACUCACCAGAAAUGGAAAGAGCAGGCAACAAAUUGGGAAGUUUGGGUAAUAAAUGAUAGACAUAGAGUGAUAGACCUAAAACAGAUGUAAAUCCAAAAGAAAAAGACAGAAAGAAGCUAAUGGAAAUUUUGACAGAGGUGACAAACAGGCUGUUUCCAAAGGAAGAAAUGUUGACAAUGAACGUGUGAAAAAUGCUGAGUCUCCUUAGUAUCAAAGAAAUGCAUAUUAACUAAGACACAGCAUUUUUUCAUCUAACAAAUUGGCCAACUUUUAACAAAAAGUUAAUGCCUAGUUUUUGGUGAGGUAAGAUUGGUAGGGAGACCAACUUUUUAGAGAGCCAACCCAGGACACAAUUAUACCAGACAAAAAAUUAAUGGUAAUAUAAUGUAUAAUAAAUAAUUACACAUGUAUAUAUCAGUUUAAUAUGAAAAUAGAUGUUAAUUUUAAAUUAUAUAUCAUUCUGUAUUGUUUAGUUUUCUGUUGCAUAAGUGCUAUUUAAACUAAACCACAAUGAAACUAGUUAAGAACAACUCAUCAUAAUUAAUAAUAGGACAAAUUACAAAAUAAUGAGCAAGAAAAAUAUAACAAUAUUUUUAUAGUGUUUCUUUUGAUUUUCUGAUACAGUAAUUUACUUUAACUCUUUUUAACUCUAUUGGAUAUUUACAUUUUGUAGGCUUUAUUGUACAUGCUGAAGAUGCACAAAUGUAAUACCUUUUUAAAGGACUGUAUAAAUGCAUUGGACUAAUAAAUGAAUAUUAACCUAUGUUUAAUAAAAAAAGAACAAUGAUGUGUUUCUUUCUCUCCCACAGUACCAUAUGAUAUUUUUACUCUUCCUGUUUCUUUUUGCAACAACUUAGAGAAGGCUCCUUUUCUUUUCUGUAGUGAUAGACUGAACAUAACGCAAAUGUAAAAUCCAGUUUGACUUUCAGAUCUUCUUUUAUCAACCCCACAUCAUGCUAAUUCCUGGUGUCAGUCCAAUGUGAUGACAUCCAGCUAAAUAUCCUCCCAAUAAAAGCAUUUUAGCAUAAAAUACUUAGAAUUUUACUUACUAGUAACAGCAGGUUUUUAGACUGGUGCGCCUUUGUUUCCAGCUCUCCAAAAAUGUCCAUCCACUUUAUAUUGACAGGCUUGUAAUUGUAGAUCAGCUGUUCGUCAAUAAUGUCCUUUGCAUCUAUAAAUUCAUCUUCUAGACGCUCCAUGUCUAAAAUGUCCAUCAUUUGUCCAAAGCACAUUGGAUAUCAUCACAAGUUAAGCCUCUCUCAGGGAAGCAGUUUUAAAGUGUAGAUGUAAUCUGAACUUGUGAAAUUGCAGUUGGAUUCCAAAUAAGUUACAGUUUUAGUAAAGAGAUGAGAAAGUCCUGUUUAACUUGGUUGACCUUUUUUAGUUCUAGUAACUUUUUUUUUUUGAGUUCAGAAACAGUCUUAUUUCAAAAAAAGGCUAUAUGAGUUUCUGUCACAACUACACAUAACAUGAAACAAUUCAAGUGGAUUCAGUUCAUCCUUUCCUGGGCUCCUUAUGGCCUCUUCAAAGAUCAUCAAACAAUUUUGGAGAAACAGCAUAUAAACUUCCGUUUUACUGUAAUGCUUUUUUCCAUUUCCAUCCUCAAUGUAUUUUCAAAUUAGAGAAGGACAUUCUUCUUGUCCUACAUUUUAAAAAUAUGAUUUUACAGACAAUAUCUAACAUCUUUCUAUGGCCAGCAGCAGUGAUAGCCAUCCUAUAGGCACAUGUCUAAGAAAGCUCUUCUCGUUUUUAUAAAGUCAAAUAUCUCAUUAAGUAACUGUAGUUUUCAGGAAACUGAAAAGUGACAAAGACUUUCAUAAUGAAAACCUCGAGUUCAUAAGUGAGCAAAUCACAUUCCCUUUUAGCAAUAUCAUGUACUAGGUAUGCAAAACAUUUAGCAGG